RNAcentral lists this ribosomal RNA (467 nucleotides) under uncultured bacterium. RNAcentral's name for it is "partial 16S ribosomal RNA". It matches the Rfam family "Bacterial small subunit ribosomal RNA", at positions 28 to 507 of the family's 1533-position model. The record is from RNAcentral.
GACGAACGCUGGCGGCGUGCUUAACACAUGCAAGUCGAACGGAAAGGCCUCUUUCGGGGGGUACUCGAGUGGCGAACGGGUGAGUAACACGUGAGUAACCUGCCCUUGACUUUGGGAUAACUUCAGGAAACUGGGGCUAAUACCGGAUAGGAGCUCCUGCUGCAUGGUGGGGGUUGGAAAGUUUCGGCGGUUGGGGAUGGACUCGCGGCUUAUCAGCUUGUUGGUGGGGUAGUGGCUUACCGAGGCUUUGACAGGUAGACGGACAGAGAGGGUGACCGGCGCAAUUGGGACUGAGAUACGGCCCAGAUUCCUAGGGGAGGCAGCAGUGGGGAAAGAUGCACAACGGGUGGAAGCCUGAUGCAGCAAAGCCGUGUGCGGGAUGACGGUCUUCGGGUUGUAAAUCGCUUUCGCUCAUGACGAAGCUUUGUGUGACGGUAGUGGGUAAAGAAGCACCGGCUAACUACGUG